This 103-nucleotide microRNA precursor is filed under the name Marmota monax (woodchuck). The record is from RNAcentral. Lineage: Eukaryota; Metazoa; Chordata; Mammalia; Rodentia; Sciuridae.
AGUGGAAUUGCUAGAUCAUAUAGCAAUUCUUUGUUUAAUUUUUUGAAGAAUGGCCAUAUUGUUUUUCAUAGUGACCGCAUCAUUUUCCAUUUCCAUCAGUAGU